RNAcentral lists this long non-coding RNA (878 nucleotides) under Pan troglodytes (chimpanzee). Its description in RNAcentral is "long non-coding RNA NONPTRT013876". Lineage: Eukaryota; Metazoa; Chordata; Mammalia; Primates; Hominidae. The record is from RNAcentral.
UGGAAUUUGAGGGCACGGGCCCUGCUAUGGCACAGGCAGAUGGUACGAGAUGGAAUUUGAGAGCUUGGGUACUGCUAUGGCACAGGCAGAUGGUACGAGAUGGAAUUUGAGACCAUGGGUCCUGCUAUGGCACAGGCAGAUGGUACGAGAUGGAAUUUGAGGGCACGGGUCCUGCUAUGGCACAGGCAGAUGGUACGAGAUGGAAUUUGAGGGCACGGGUCCUGCUAUGGCACAGGCAGAUGGUAAGAGAUGGAAUUUGAGAGCACGGGUCCUGCUAUGGCACAGGCAGAUGGUAAGAGAUGGAAUUUGAGGGCACGGGUCCUGCUAUGGCACAGGCAGAUGGUAAGAGACGGAAUUUGAGGGCACGGGUCCUGCUAUGGCACAGGCACAUGGUACGAGAUAGAAUUUGAGGGCACGGGUCCUGCUAUGGCACAGGCAGAUGGCACGAGAUGGAAUUUGAGGGCACGGGUCCUGCUAUGGCACAGGCAGAUGGUACGAGCCUGAAUUUGAGAUCAUGGGUCCUGCUAUGGCACAGGCAGAUGGUACGAGAUGGAAUUUGAGAGCACGGGUCCUGCUAUGGCACAGGCAGAUGUUAAGAGCCUGAAUUUGAGGGCAUGCGUCCUGCUAUGGCACAGGCAGAAUCAGCUUCAGGGUGUGACAGCCGCUCUGCUUUCGCCAUCUUGAAAUUCUUAACAAUCUGGCCUUUGAACCUGUGUUUUUUAAGUGAAGUGUGCUGGGACAAUGGAGCACAUCUGUGAUCAGUCACACACACUUUACGUGUCCAUUGUUCCUCAACACCCCACUGGCAGGAGCAUUGUUGAUGUCCCGUGCGCACAGAAUUCCGGUGGACUCCCAGUGCCUGGCAGCUAGUAAGUCAA